GAGCGAUGAUGUGUCAUGCCUUCUUGAUGGAGGGGUUCAUCACUAUUAUCUGAUGCUAAAAGACGACUUUAAUAGGCCUUACUGAGCUC
Molecule: small nucleolar RNA, 89 nt
Organism: Lactuca sativa (garden lettuce)
Lineage: Eukaryota; Viridiplantae; Streptophyta; Magnoliopsida; Asterales; Asteraceae
Product: small nucleolar RNA snoR114
Source: RefSeq, a predicted model, not a curated record